CAGAGUGACAGGUGGUGCAUGGUUGUCGUCAGCUCGUGUCGUGAGAUGUUGGGUUAAGUCCCGCAACGAGCGCAACCCUUGAUCUUAGUUGCCAGCAUUCAGUUGGGCACUUUAAGGUGACUGCCGGUGACAAACCGGAGGAAGGUGGGGAUGACGUCAAAUCAUCAUGCCCCUUAUGACCUGGGCUACACACGUGCUACAAUGGACGGUACAAAGGGCAGCAAAGCCGCGAGGUUAAGCCAAUCCCACAAAUC
Molecule: ribosomal RNA, 254 nt
Filed under: Bacillus subtilis
Lineage: Bacteria; Bacillati; Bacillota; Bacilli; Caryophanales; Bacillaceae
Description: partial 16S ribosomal RNA
Rfam family: Bacterial small subunit ribosomal RNA
Source: RNAcentral